AACCACGAAACCACGCCAGCGAACCGGG
This 28-nucleotide non-coding RNA is filed under the name Bombyx mori (domestic silkworm). Lineage: Eukaryota; Metazoa; Arthropoda; Insecta; Lepidoptera; Bombycidae. The record is from RNAcentral.